This 118-nucleotide ribosomal RNA is filed under the name Danio rerio (zebrafish). The record is from RNAcentral. Lineage: Eukaryota; Metazoa; Chordata; Actinopteri; Cypriniformes; Danionidae.
UGCCACAGCCAUAUCACCCUACAGCCCAGGAUCGGUUACUCACUGAAGCUUAGCAGGGCUGAGCCUGGCUAUUACCUGAAUGGGAGACCACAUGGAAAAAACUAGGUUGCUGUUGGAA